This is a long non-coding RNA of Quercus robur (English oak), 2155 nucleotides long. RefSeq lists it as uncharacterized. The record is from RefSeq and is a predicted model, not a curated record. NCBI's taxonomy places the organism in Eukaryota, Viridiplantae, Streptophyta, Magnoliopsida, Fagales, Fagaceae. The transcript has 4 exons.
UUUAUUUUAUUUUGUAAGAUGUAAGAUCAUUUUUUUUUUCCUUUCCUGUAAGUUACUAUCUUUGAUUAAAUAUUCAUAUUUUGGAAUGUGUUUUCCUUGCAAUUUUACUUACUCGGCAAUGGCAUGGGGAGACUGGAGAGUAAGGAUUGGGGGUGACACACUGCAUUGAGUGAUGCCAGAGAAAUUUAUGCAAAAAAAACUUACCAACUUCAUUGAAAAGCGACUCAAGUCAGAAAGGGCUGCUUCUAUUUGGACAAGCACAUUGCAACAAACUAUUGAAAUGGCCAGAAAGUUAGAAAUAGUUUUGUAAGCGAUGUUGUGGAGACUUAUGGCUUGAAAUGGCUAAAAGAUUUAGGUCCUGCAUCUUUUGGAAUAAGCGUAACAGAAGUAUGAUUUAACUUAGACAGGGAAGCCAUUUAGACUUGGAGCCUUGAAGGUUUGCAUGGACUUGAUGUUAUCGACCACCUAAUCUGCAAUAGAAAGUAGACAGCUCAACAUUCUCAAUCUCAUCAUUGCACUGCUGAAAGAAACCUUCAAAUCCUCUAGCCAAGAAGGAUUGGAUGAGGUAAAUAGCUCUCUAAAAUUGGCUAAGAAGUAUUCCUCAAUCUCUUUGGAUCAUUUAUCCACUAGUUAUCCAAGUUUAUCGUAUCAAUGUUGUUGGGCUUUCUUUGAAUGAUUGUGAAUAAAUGAAAUUUUUUUGUAUUUCUGUCACCUUCUUGAAGCCAAAGUUCUCUAGAUUUUUGUGUUGAUUCUCAAUCAUAACUGCAUUCUCUGGAGUAGAACCAUUAGCUUGGUAGACUUCUAGAAGCUGGAGCAAUUCUUGUUUUUCAGAUUGACACCACCCAAAGCACCUUUGUUCCACUUCCUAUGAAUUUACCCUUAACUUGUCCAACUUUCUCAUAAAUUGAAAAUAUAUUGAUCCAUUGACACUCACAUCCCACAAACUUCUAAUUACAUCAUCACUCCUUUCAUCUCUCAACCAAGUAGCCUGGUCUUGAUCUUCUCCCUAAUUUUAUAUUAGGAUUUAGUAUAAUUGGGUUGUGGUCAUUUUGUGGUUGACAAGAGCCUCAUCCCCCCUGGUAACACACUGCCUUAUAUAGCCUCUAUCUUAUGCUGGAAAUUUCUCCCUUUUAUUACACCAAGUAUGCCUAAUUCCAAUAAAACCCAAAUUUAUUCUUACAUGAACUCUUUGAGACCUCUUCUUGAGGAAGAGCCAGCCUUGCAUCCAAACUUUUUCUUCUCUUACAAGACAGUUGAAAUCCCCACAGCAAACUCAAGGGCCUUAAAUGCAUUCACUGAGCUUGAAAUGAUCUUCCAGAAUCUCUAUUUCUUGAAUCUUGGCAAAAUAGGAAGCCCAUAGCUGCGUACAAACAACCGAUCCCUACAACCUGAUUAAGAGAUUACACCACUUACUUGCUAGGCAGAUGCAUCCACUACUUUUAAAACAACUUCCUUUUUUCCAUAAAAAGCGCACUGGUACACAAUGACAAUCCACAUAACCUAAGGUCAUCGAUUUUAUUAAUCUUAUCCUUUUCCACCAUAGUCUCAAAUAAGAAAAUAAUGUAUGGGUCAUGGUCCCUCAUGAAGACUCUAACCCUCACCAUCUAGGCAUUACCAAUUCUUUAACAAUUCCACACAAAUACUUGCAUUGCACAUACUCUAAAACACUAAGAAAAAACUAGGAGGAAAAUAAAGGGUCACCAGCUGACUCUGAUCAAUCAAAUCCCCACUAAGAAUGAAAUCUUGUAGCUAUUAUACCUUAGUUUAGAUUGAAACAAAAGCAUGACCUGGUAAGGUAGUUGGGCAGUGAUCAAGCAAUGCAGGUGGAGAAUGACAAUAGAAACAUACUAAUGACCAGUUCCAGGAGAACAAGCUUGAGUCGCAUCUAGACACAUGAGGCAGAGGAGGAAUCCAAAUAACUGGGUGGGGAUCAAAGCAUUUUGCAGAGUGGAGCUUGUGAUCAGCUUGGGAAAAGCUCAGUGCACUAUAGCAAGAGGAAGUUAUCAUGUGUCUAGGGGAACGACAUGGGGAAAGCUGCACCCUUUCAUUAGGUGCUUUGGUUUACAACUUUAAGUUUCCUUGAAGGCUUGAAGCACUUUUUUGUACAUUCAACCGUUUGAAAGAAAUCUAUUCAUUAUAGUUUUCAUUUUUUGUU